This 1495-nucleotide long non-coding RNA is filed under the name Homo sapiens (human). RNAcentral's name for it is "HSALNT0402645". Lineage: Eukaryota; Metazoa; Chordata; Mammalia; Primates; Hominidae. The record is from RNAcentral.
AGGGAGAAAAUUAGGACAAAUACCUAAUGCAUAUGGGGCUUAAAUCCUAGACGUCAGGUUGAUAGAAGCAGCAAACCACCAUGGCACAUGUAAACCUAUGUAACAAACCUGCACGUUCUGCACAUGUAUUCCAGAACUUAAAGUAAAACAAACUAACAAAAAUGCACUAAGGCUGAGGGGGAGUGGGGGUAGGGGCAGGAGUCAGGCGGGGGUGGGUGAGUCCUGGAGUUUUAUCCAGUCAUUGACACUGAUGUGGGAACAGCCCAAUCAGGCGCGCAGUUGGAGAGGACAGGAGAGGAGGGCGUGGCUUCUGGCGUUUGGCGGGUCUUUGUCUCUUGCUGGCGCUGGCACAGGAACUUGGGAUCCGUCUCCUCUUUCGCCUCCUCCGCUUUGGGAGCCCCGGGCUACUCUUUCACAGCCCCUGUUGCCCUGUGAUCUGUAGGUCCUUGGGGACGCACAGUUAAGAUGACAGGACAUCCUGGAAGCUGGGAAAUGUUAGCAUUUCAUCAUAUCAAUGUGAAGAUUUCUUCCAGACCUUGGCUGGAGAAGGAAAGAAGGUGUGUUUUGCCUGAUUCAGGGACUAUAGAGAGAACCAAGUUCUGCAGGCCUGUCACCUAAGUCUCAGAUGAGUAUGAAUUCUUUUGUGUUUUUCACAGAUUUUUGCAGUGGCAGGACCAAGUUCAAAUGAGUCAUAGCCAAGUUUACAGUAAGAUGUGGUAGUAUUCUGUUUUGAACCGAGGACCAUGAUUGGCAAGCUUGCCACUUGGUCAAGUGCUUACCCUCUAAAGAUGUCUUCCUUGGUCUUUGCCUCCAGCUGGGUGUCACAAACUCUGAACUGGAUUCUAAGGCUUUCAUGAAUGCACUUAUGUUUCCCGUGGCAGCUGCAUUAUGUUGUGGGGGAUGUGCAUGCCGAACCUCCCAUUCUGUCGUCUUGCUUAUGUUACUCUCCUUUAUGUUUCACUUUCUCAAAUGAAUGUCAAGCUGGUGAUUUUUAGAUUCAAAAAUUCUAAAAUAAAUUGCUCAAAUUUCCACAUUAUGUAAGCUAUUAAUAAAAUGUCUUGUAGGUGCUACAUAUUUAUUAAAAUUUUUGGUUGUAAUUUUAAGCUCACUGCAGGCAGAAAGGAAUCAUUAACAUUUAUAUUCUUUUUUUUAGUCUGUAUCUAAAUGAUGGUAUAUUUUAAUUCCAGAUAUUUACUUUAUACUGCAGUAAUGCUCGUCAUAUUUUGCAAAAUUUAUGUUGUUCUUUUAUUUGGAAAUAUAAGGCUUUUUUAGCUCUUGAAAUCUAUAUUAUAGUCAUAUAAUUUUAUUAUGUUUUGUGGUAAGAAGUGCAGCAACAUAUUGAGAACAUAAUAAAAUUAUCCUGUAUUUUUAAUGAUUAUUUAUUAAAUUCCUCUCAUUAGAGCCUGUUAUUAAUGAUUGUAAUGUAUUUUCUGUAUAAUUUUACUGCAAUUUAUUAAAUUCUAAUGACUUAAAUUGUCUGCUUUUCAUGAGUGCA